This is a long non-coding RNA of Thunnus maccoyii (southern bluefin tuna), 730 nucleotides long. RefSeq lists it as uncharacterized. The record is from RefSeq and is a predicted model, not a curated record. The transcript has 3 exons. Lineage: Eukaryota; Metazoa; Chordata; Actinopteri; Scombriformes; Scombridae.
AAUAUUGUGUUUUUCGUUCGUCAGAUCAAUGUAUAUUAAGAUUUUGUAGUCUUUUUUCAAAUUUUCUAUUCGUUGAAUGCUGGAUAGAAACACGAAUGGCUUAACAGCCAUUUCCGACUAUCAAGACAAGUUUUGCUGCAGCUAUGCAAUUCAGCAUCUAAAUCAUCGGACACACUGCUCUCACCUGAUACCCUCUCAGGUUCAAGUCCUGUCCACCAUUGGUUUCUUGGCUACAGGGACAUUUCAGAGGGGAUUUGGCAGAUCAGACUGGGAUUUCACAACCUGGGGUUCCAUGGCAUUGCUGGAAUGCCAAACACUAUUGGAGCAAUAGACUGCACCCAUGUGCGCAUCAAAACUCUGUCUACCGACUCCAUGCAAUUUAUGAACCGGAAAAUGAUCAUUCCAUCCACGUGCAGGUGACCCGGGAUAUGGCCAGGCAACUAGACUGCAGGCCACAUGACAUACAACCAAAUGCAGGAUCUCCUGGCAGGGCUGCAGUUCACUUCUAAUGAUGGAGAGCCAGCUGGUUGUGGACAACCUCGUCGGUCUGGACACGGUCAUGCUGAUGAGAUUCCUGGGGUAUGCUUUGGGAAGUGGAUUGUGUGGCUGGCAGCUGGGAGUGAGUGGUCGAUGGCACGUCAUCCUCUACUCCAGCAUCAUCUGGACCUACAAUUCAAAUUUGAAGUUUUGUUUGCAUUACUAUUUACAUUUGAAUAAAAUUUAAAUGUUA